This 360-nucleotide unclassified non-coding RNA is filed under the name Hevea brasiliensis (rubber tree). The record is from RNAcentral. Lineage: Eukaryota; Viridiplantae; Streptophyta; Magnoliopsida; Malpighiales; Euphorbiaceae.
AAUUGGCAGAUAUGAUUGACAAAAACUGGAACUUUGGCAGGGAAGACGAAUACAAAGAGCGAGAAGAAAAGAAGAUAUUGAUUUGGGAAAAUUUGGAUAGUGAUUUCCAGGAGAAAUCACAAUGAACAUGGUAUGAUUGUAAAAAAGAGGGUAGAAUAGGAGCAGAAAUCUGUAAUUUGUUGAUUCUGAUAGGGAGAAUUUUAGAAAACCCUAACCCAUAGGUUUUGUGGUUUGGGAUUGCCUGGGUUCUACACUUUAAGCUUUUGAAAGGGGAGAGAAAGAAAGGAAAAUUGAAAGAUUGGAGAUGGGAAGGCCGGAGGAUCGAGAGAGACAGAUCGAGACAGGGAGAGAGAGGAGAUG